CACCACAACGGGUGGAGCUUGCGGUUUAAUUGGAUUCAACGCCGGAAAUCUUACCGGGACCGACAGCAAUAUGAAGGCCAGGCUGAAGACUUUGCCGGAUUAGCUGAGAGGUGGUGCAUGGCCGUCGUCAGUUCGUACUGUGAAGCAUCCUGUUAAGUCAGGCAACGAGCGAGACCCACGCCCACAGUUGCCAGCGUACUCUCUGGAGUGACGGGUACACUGUGGGGACCGCCGCUGCUAAAGCGGAGGAAGGAAUGGGCAACGGUAGGUCAGUAUGCCCCGAAUAUCCCGGGCUACACGCGAGCUACAAUGGUUGGUACAAUGGGUAUCUACCCCGAAAGGGGACGGGAAUCUCCUAAAACCAAUCUUAGUUCGGAUUGAGGGCUGCAACUCGCCCUCAUGAAGCUGGAAUCCGUAGUAAUCGCGUUUCAACAGAACGCGGUGAAUACGUCCCUGCUCCUU
Molecule: ribosomal RNA, 462 nt
Filed under: uncultured Methanosaeta sp.
Lineage: Archaea; Methanobacteriati; Methanobacteriota; Methanomicrobia; Methanotrichales; Methanotrichaceae
Description: bacterial SSU rRNA
Rfam family: Archaeal small subunit ribosomal RNA
Source: RNAcentral